GCUGGGUUUAGAACGUCGUGAGACAGUUCGGUCCCUAUCUGCCGUGGGCGCUGGAGAACUGAGGGGGGCUGCUCCUAGUACGAGAGGACCGGAGUGGACGCAUCACUGGUGUUCGGGUUGUCAUGCCAAUGGCACUGCCCGGUAGCUAAAUGCGGAAGAGAUAAGUGCUGAAAGCAUCUAAGCACGAAACUUGCCCCGAGAUGAGUUCUCCCUGAGACUUUAAGUCUCCUGAAGGAACGUUGAAGACGACGACGUUGAUAGGCCGGGUGUGUAAGCGCAGCGAUGCGUUGAGCUAACCGGUACUAAUGAACCGUGAGGCUUAACCUUACAACGCCGAAG
RNAcentral lists this ribosomal RNA (339 nucleotides) under Salmonella enterica subsp. enterica serovar Oranienburg. RNAcentral describes it as "bacterial LSU rRNA". It matches the Rfam family "Bacterial large subunit ribosomal RNA", at positions 2604 to 2925 of the family's 2925-position model. RNAcentral also lists the same sequence under 1 other name. The record is from RNAcentral. Lineage: Bacteria; Pseudomonadati; Pseudomonadota; Gammaproteobacteria; Enterobacterales; Enterobacteriaceae.